GGCUGGUCUGAAGUUAGUGAGUUACCUCAGCUGAUUGUCCACAGUGAGUUGUAGGUCGAACUCCUUCUUCCUCUGUUUUCCCCUUCUCAUUAAUACACUUGACUAAUUUUUU
Y RNA from Callithrix jacchus (white-tufted-ear marmoset), 112 nucleotides. It matches the Rfam family "Y RNA". From Rfam's summary of the family: Y RNAs are components of the Ro ribonucleoprotein particle (Ro RNP), in association with Ro60 and La proteins. The Y RNAs and Ro60 and La proteins are well conserved, but the function of the Ro RNP is not known. In humans the RNA component can be one of four small RNAs -- hY1, hY3, hY4 and hY5. NCBI's taxonomy places the organism in Eukaryota, Metazoa, Chordata, Mammalia, Primates, Cebidae. The record is from Ensembl.